AUCCAAGGUGAUUCCCUCUCCGAGGGGCCUGCUUGUGCCCCUCUUCAGGAAAGUAGCAACUUGGAAGACAACGUGGCAUGCCUUAGGUUGCUGGGGGAGAGGGCGUUGUCCGUUCCUGUGCCUGCCUUUGGCUGCCUACACGG
Zalophus californianus (California sea lion) is the source of this 143-nucleotide small nucleolar RNA. Ensembl annotates it as small nucleolar RNA SNORA67. The record is from Ensembl. NCBI's taxonomy places the organism in Eukaryota, Metazoa, Chordata, Mammalia, Carnivora, Otariidae.